CUGGUCGGCGGGGUAACGGCCCACCAAGGCGACGAUCCGUAGCUGGUCUGAGAGGACGAUCAGCCACACUGGGAAUGAGACACGGCCCAGACUCCUACGGGAGGCAGCAGUGGGGAAUCUUGCGCAAUGGGCGAAAGCCUGACGCAGCGACGCCGCGUGAGGGAAGAAGGCCUUCGGGUUGUAAACCUCUUUCAGAAGGGACGAAGCCACUCGGGUUAAUAGCCCAGAGGGUGACGGUACCUUCAGAAGAAGCCCCGGCUAACUACGUGCCAGCAGCCGCGGUAAUACGUAGGGGGCAAGCGUUGUCCGGAUUUAUUGGGCGUAAAGAGCGUGUAGGCGGUUUUACAGGUCCGCUGUGAAAACUCGAGGCUCAACCUCGAGCUGUCGGUGGAAACCGUAAGGCUAGAGUCCGGAAGAGGAGAGUGGAAUUCCCGGUGUAGCGGUGAAAUGCGCAGAUAUCGGGAAGAACACCCGUGGCGAAGGCGGCUCUCUGGGACGGUACUGACGCUGAGACGCGAAAGCGUGGGGAGCGAACAGGAUUAGAUACCCUGGUAGUCCACGCCGUAAACGAUGGGUGCUAGGUGUGGGGGGUGUCGACUCCCCCCGUGCCGAAGCUAACGCAUUAAGCACCCCGCCUGGGGAGUACGGCCGCAAGGCUAAAACUCAAAGGAAUUGACG
Molecule: ribosomal RNA, 678 nt
Filed under: uncultured Actinomycetes bacterium
Lineage: Bacteria; Bacillati; Actinomycetota; Actinomycetes
Description: SSU rRNA
Rfam family: Bacterial small subunit ribosomal RNA
Source: RNAcentral